CACUGCUUUCUUCAUUUUUUUCUUGCUGGAACUUUGGACUUUUACCUUACCUCUCCAAAGUCAUGGGGCUUUCCAGAUUUUCCAAUUCUUUGCUUGAGAUGCCAAUAAUCUGGACACCCUCCACCAGUAACACAUUUGGCAAGUCACCCAGGAGGAGAGACCAUCAAGCUUCAGAUGAUCAUGCAACAAACAUUCCAGCCAGUUCCUGGUGAAGACACCACCCUUGGCCAUCAGGAAACUACCCUGCCUCCACUAGACAGAAAAAGGCAAGAGUUCUGUAUCCCCAAUAGCAUGAUCAGCAAGAAGACACUGCAGGAAACUACCAACCCCUCUGAGAGCCCUGCCCCUGUACCUGCUAUGGCCUUCUCUCCAGCAGUGAGGGCUCUGUCUGACUUCAGGAUGGAUUCCUCUAUAACCACCUGUGACUGCAGGAAAUCCCAGAGGACCUUGUCUGCCUGAGGAGCCAAGAAAAAACAAAGACUUGUCAGGCAGCAAAGAUCUCAACUUAUAAUGACAAAAUUAUUGUUCAAUAAAGUCAAAAAUCUAA
Molecule: non-coding RNA, 547 nt
Organism: Callithrix jacchus (white-tufted-ear marmoset)
Lineage: Eukaryota; Metazoa; Chordata; Mammalia; Primates; Cebidae
Source: RefSeq, a predicted model, not a curated record